GGGGGGUUAGCUCAGAUGGGAGAGCAGCUGGUUCGCAAUCAGCAGGUCGAGGGUUCGAUCCCCUUGCCCUCCACCA
This 76-nucleotide transfer RNA is filed under the name Pseudomonadota bacterium. RNAcentral describes it as "Proteobacteria bacterium (cold seep metagenome) tRNA-Ala". It matches the Rfam family "tRNA". Rfam says of the family: Transfer RNA (tRNA) molecules are approximately 80 nucleotides in length. Their secondary structure includes four short double-helical elements and three loops (D, anti-codon, and T loops). The record is from RNAcentral. Lineage: Bacteria; Pseudomonadati; Pseudomonadota.